Micropterus dolomieu (smallmouth bass) is the source of this 849-nucleotide long non-coding RNA. RefSeq lists it as uncharacterized. The record is from RefSeq and is a predicted model, not a curated record. The transcript has 2 exons. Lineage: Eukaryota; Metazoa; Chordata; Actinopteri; Centrarchiformes; Centrarchidae.
AAAGCGUGCAACAACACACGAGGAUGGAUUUCACAAGAUAACCACAGAACACAACCACAGAACCCAGGCAAGUCUUGAGAGCGUGAGCUGGCCCUGAGUCCUUGUUGCAGCAGGGUCCAGGUUUAAGGAUCCAGAUCCUCGACAACAAACGGAGGUGUUGACAGCGCUGAUCCAGGCUGACCUGCGGGCCUGCAGGAGGCGUCGCUCCCAGCAGCGACGACAGCUGAAGCUUCAGAGGAACGAUGCAGCUCCUGAGCCGCUCUGAUGCCCGCCUCUGAGCCGCUGGUGUUUCCCAGCAUGCCCCUGACUGACUCAGGUGGAGCGUGAGGCCGGGCCGUCUGCUGUGGGGAGGCUCGGCCUGCAGGGGGCCCCCUUCCUCCGGGCUGCUGCAGCUCGGACCCCUGACACACCAAACAAAUGUGCACAAACAAAACCUGGGGGGACUGAACCCUGCUGAGGGACUCUGAAAUCAUCCUUUGUCCUCAUUUAAUGUAAAUAUAUAAGCUUUAAAAACAAGUAAUUCAGUAUGAAAUGAACAGUUUUUGAUUUCUUGACUGAUAAGCAGGCCUGUAGACGUACUGUAGGUGUCACUCACACUUUGUGAAAGCAUUUGCUAAAAAUGUUCUGAAACAUAGCUUACAGCAAGAAAUCAGAUCAGAAAUACUUUAUUGAUCCCCGAGGGAAACGUCUUUGUUACAGAUACUCGUUUGCACAUCAAGGCAUAAAAGGAAUAGAAAUAAUAGCAGAAGUUAGUAAGUAGAGAAUGUAAAAAAGAAUAUAAUGAAUUUGGAUAUUAACAGUAUUAUACAGUAUUAACAGACCUGUAAUGAAAAUAAAUAGUGUAAUAAU